This 253-nucleotide ribosomal RNA is filed under the name uncultured bacterium. RNAcentral's name for it is "partial 16S ribosomal RNA". It matches the Rfam family "Bacterial small subunit ribosomal RNA", at positions 524 to 776 of the family's 1533-position model. The record is from RNAcentral.
UACGUAGGCAGCAAGCGUUGUUCGGAGUUACUGGGCGUAAAGGGUGUAUAGGCGGUCCUCUAAGUUUGGUGUGAAAUCUCCCGGCUCAACUGGGAGGGUGCGCCGAAAACUGGAGGGCUAGAGUACUGGAUGGGAGAGUGGAAUUCCUGGUGUAGCGGUGAAAUGCGUAGAUAUCAGGAGGAACACCUGUGGUGUAGACGGCUCUCUGGACAGUAACUGACGCUGAGACACGAAAGCGUGGGUAGCAAACAGG